AUCCAGCUGACGAGUCCCAAGUAGGAAGAAACGCUCGUCCUGGAU
This is a non-coding RNA of Schistosoma rodhaini, 45 nucleotides long. The record is from Rfam. NCBI's taxonomy places the organism in Eukaryota, Metazoa, Platyhelminthes, Trematoda, Strigeidida, Schistosomatidae.